GACGAACGCUGGCGGCGUGCUUAACACAUGCAAGUCGAACGGAAAGGCCCUGCUUUUGUGGGGUGCUCGAGUGGCGAACGGGUGAGUAACACGUGAGUAACCUGCCCUUGACUUUGGGAUAACUUCAGGAAACUGGGGCUAAUACCGGAUAGGAGCUCCUGCUGCAUGGUGGGGGUUGGAAAGUUUCGGCGGUUGGGGAUGGACUCGCGGCUUAUCAGCUUGUUGGUGGGGUAGUGUCUUACCAAGGCUUUGACGGGUAGCCGGCCUGAGAGGGUGACCGGCCACAUUGGGACUGAGAUACGGCCCAGACUCCUACGGGAGGCAGCAGUGGGGAAUAUUGUACAAUGGGCGGAAGCCUGAUGCAGCAACGCCGCGUGCGGGAUGACGGCCUUCGGGUUGUAAACCGCUUUCGCCUGUGACGAAGCGUGAGUGACGGUAAUGGGUAAAGAAGCACCGGCUAACUACGUG
Molecule: ribosomal RNA, 468 nt
Filed under: uncultured bacterium
Lineage: Bacteria
Description: partial 16S ribosomal RNA
Rfam family: Bacterial small subunit ribosomal RNA
Source: RNAcentral